GAUGAACGCUGGCGGCGUGCUUAACACAUGCAAGUCGAACGGGAAUUACUUUAUUGAAACUUCGGUCGAUUUAAUUUAAUUCUAGUGGCGGACGGGUGAGUAACGCGUGGGUAACCUGCCUUGUACAGGGGGAUAACAGUCAGAAAUGACUGCUAAUACCGCAUAAGCGCACAGGACCGCAUGGUCCGGUGUGAAAAACUCCGGUGGUAUAAGAUGGACCCGCGUUGGAUUAGCUUGUUGGUGGGGUAACGGCCCACCAAGGCGACGAUCCAUAGCCGGCCUGAGAGGGUGAACGGCCACAUUGGGACUGAGACACGGCCCAGACUCCUACGGGAGGCAGCAGUGGGGAAUAUUGCACAAUGGGGGAAACCCUGAUGCAGCGACGCCGCGUGAAGGAAGAAGUAUCUCGGUAUGUAAACUUCUAUCAGCAGGGAAGAAAAUGACGGUACCUGACUAAGAAGCCCCGGCUAACUACGUGCCAGCAGCCGCGGUAAUACGUAGGGGGCAAGCGUUAUCCGGAUUUACUGGGUGUAAAGGGAGCGUAGACGGAUGGACAAGUCUGAUGUGAAAGGCUGGGGCUCAACCCCGGGACUGCAUUGGAAACUGCCCGUCUUGGGUGCCGGAGAGGUAAGCGGAAUUCCUAGUGUAGCGGUGAAAUGCGUAGAUAUUAGGAGGAACACCAGUGGCGAAGGCGGCUUA
RNAcentral lists this ribosomal RNA (699 nucleotides) under uncultured Lachnospiraceae bacterium. RNAcentral's name for it is "bacterial SSU rRNA". It matches the Rfam family "Bacterial small subunit ribosomal RNA", at positions 28 to 728 of the family's 1533-position model. The record is from RNAcentral. Lineage: Bacteria; Bacillati; Bacillota; Clostridia; Lachnospirales; Lachnospiraceae.